GCCUGGUGAAGGACGUCUGUCGUGGGGUAGUUGGAGCUUGACUCUGAAGUGAUCAUCACACUCACUGCCACUUCACGUAGAAUACUGCUACCACAAACUACCAGCGUUUGUACCAUAUAUACCAGAUGACUACAUCUGUUUUACCACAUGUUGAAGCAAGACUUCCGCUGUUUGUUCCAGACCAGGACUCUGGCUGAGGAGAGCUGAUGGAGGAGCUGACACGCUGGAGGACGACUAGGAAUCGACCAACAAGGAUUCCUCAACGUGUUUCUGGAGCGGAGGCGAGCUGGUAGGGGAGCCGUGAAUCUGGAGGAUGACCAUCACUCUACCAACAAGGAUUACGUUGGGGCCAGACUCACGCUGUUUGUUCCAGACCAGGACUCUGGCUGAGGUGAGCUGAUGGAGGAGUUGAGACGCUGGAGGACGACUAGGAAUCGACCAACAAGG
Molecule: long non-coding RNA, 447 nt
Organism: Gadus macrocephalus (Pacific cod)
Lineage: Eukaryota; Metazoa; Chordata; Actinopteri; Gadiformes; Gadidae
Exons: 3
Source: RefSeq, a predicted model, not a curated record